AUUUCUUUUCUUUUUUGUUUUUGCUAGGAUAUGCCAGGCAACAACCUAGGAAAUAAUAAGAUUGGAGCAGGAGAAAGUUGCUUCUAACCUCAGGACAGUGUGACAACAGUGACCUGUGAAACCACAGGUCUCAAACAGCAUGUCAUCUCAUACUGUCUUCAGUCAUAACCUGCUCGCUGACUUUCAAUCUUCACCAGUCAUCAACAGAAGAAUGUUAAACAUGCACCGCUGAUGCCACCUGACCUCUAUGCAACAGAUGAGCUGACCAGAGAGGCAGCAGGUCCCGAUCUUCCAAGACAUUCAGAACCCCCACGUGCACAGCCCUAAGAAACCUGAGCUGAGGCGUCGGACCAGGCCAUCUGCAGAGAUUCCCAUCCACCUCCGUUGUUCCG
Molecule: long non-coding RNA, 392 nt
Organism: Centrocercus urophasianus (Greater sage-grouse)
Lineage: Eukaryota; Metazoa; Chordata; Aves; Galliformes; Phasianidae
Exons: 3
Source: RefSeq, a predicted model, not a curated record